Molecule: long non-coding RNA, 203 nt
Organism: Coregonus clupeaformis (lake whitefish)
Lineage: Eukaryota; Metazoa; Chordata; Actinopteri; Salmoniformes; Salmonidae
Exons: 3
Source: RefSeq, a predicted model, not a curated record
CAGUCAGAGGAAACCACAGCUACAGCACUACAUAUCUGAGCCAGCGAGAGAUGUGGACUUUGUCAGUCCAGACCAGCUGGAGUCUUUCAAGGAGAAGAGAGAGUUCUUCCAGAAGAAUGGUUCUCUGCCGAAGCCAGCAGCCAAACCGCCAACGCCUCACGGUACUCCCAGUAGCCCCCCCAAACAGACCCGUCCCCGCUCCC